GGGCCGGUAGCUCAGCCUGGACAAUUAGGGGAAAUAGAGCACCUCACUUUUAAUGAGGUGGUCGCGAGUUCGAAUCUCGUCCGGCCCG
This 88-nucleotide transfer RNA is filed under the name Nanobdellota archaeon. Its description in RNAcentral is "tRNA-Lys". It matches the Rfam family "tRNA". From Rfam's summary of the family: Transfer RNA (tRNA) molecules are approximately 80 nucleotides in length. Their secondary structure includes four short double-helical elements and three loops (D, anti-codon, and T loops). Lineage: Archaea; Nanobdellati; Nanobdellota. The record is from RNAcentral.